ACACUCCUACGGGAGGCAGCAGUGGGGAAUUUUGGACAAUGGGCGAAAGCCUGAUCCAGCAAUGCCGCGUGAGUGAAGAAGGCCUUCGGGUUGUAAAGCUCUUUUGUCAGGGAAGAAACGGUGAGAGCUAAUAUCUCUUGCUAAUGACGGUACCUGAAGAAUAAGCACCGGCUAACUACGUGCCAGCAGCCGCGGUAAUACGUAGGGUGCAAGCGUUAAUCGGAAUUACUGGGCGUAAAGCGUGCGCAGGCGGUUUUGUAAGUCUGAUGUGAAAUCCCCGGGCUCAACCUGGGAAUUGCAUUGGAGACUGCAAGGCUAGAAUCUGGCAGAGUGGGGUAGAAUUCCACGUGUAGCAGUGAAAUGCGUAGAUAUGUGGAGGAACACCGAUGGCGAAGGCAGCCCCCUGGGUCAAGAUUGACGCUCAUGCACGAAAGCGUGGGGAGCAAACAGGAUUAGAAACCCGUGUAGUCCCAUGAU
Molecule: ribosomal RNA, 477 nt
Filed under: uncultured organism
Description: partial 16S ribosomal RNA
Rfam family: Bacterial small subunit ribosomal RNA
Source: RNAcentral